AGUGAACGCUGGCGGUAGGCCUAACACAUGCAAGUCGAACGGCAGCACAGUAAGAGCUUGCUCUUACGGGUGGCGAGUGGCGGACGGGUGAGGAAUACAUCGGAAUCUACUUUUUCGUGGGGGAGAACGUAGGGAAACUUACGCUAAUACCGCAUACGACCUACGGGUGAAAGCAGGGGAUCUUCGGACCUUGCGCGAUUGAAUGAGCCGAUGUCGGAUUAGCUAGUUGGCGGGGUAAAGGCCCACCAAGGCGACGAACCGUAGCUGGUCUGAGAGGAUGAUCAGCCACACUGGAACUGAGACACGGUCCAGACUCCUACGGGAGGCAGCAGUGGGGAAUAUUGGACAAUGGGCGCAAGCCUGAUCCAGCCAUACCGCGUGGGUGAAGAAGGCCUUCGGGUUGUAAAGCCCUUUUGUUGGGAAAGAAAAGCAGCAGGUUAAUACCCCGCUGUUCUGACGGUACCCAAAGAAUAAGCACCGGCUAACUUCGUG
This 492-nucleotide ribosomal RNA is filed under the name uncultured bacterium. Its description in RNAcentral is "partial 16S ribosomal RNA". It matches the Rfam family "Bacterial small subunit ribosomal RNA", at positions 29 to 507 of the family's 1533-position model. The record is from RNAcentral.